AUAUCCAUAAGAUAAUUAAAACGAAGGGGAUUUUUUUAACUUUUUUUUUUAAUCAGCCAGUGGUUAAUGCAACAGUUUAGCAGAUGCUUUACUAUUUUAAAAAAAAAAAAUAUCCUCUAAAAUAACCGGAUCUUCUCAAGCCAGGGGACACCAAGAAGACCCGCAAAUGGGUUUGCUCCGGCUUGCGGAAUGUUUAAAAACUCGGCACUUCGUUCCCCUCGAAUCAGUGGUGUGGCCAAUAUCGGUUUUCUGCCAGUUUAACUAGCCUGUUUGGCAUCUGUGGAAACCAGGUUUAGUUAUCGAAGGGGAAUCAUUAAACCCCAGUUUUAACAGCCAGGCCGAAGGAGAGCCAGGAGAUGUUUGGAUAUUUAGGCUGGGUGAUCUCAGACGCAUCAUAACGAGAAAAUGUUUCUCCAAUUCUAAUUCACUGGAACUCACGGGUAACUUGCUGAAGGGCACCUUGAGCCAAGCCUCCGUGGUCAUCUUUUUAAAAGAAACAGGAUAUCAUCAGUGAAAACAGCUAAUACCAGUUCUGGACUGGCUUGGCACCGAGACAGGCAA
RNAcentral lists this long non-coding RNA (561 nucleotides) under Sarcophilus harrisii (Tasmanian devil). Its description in RNAcentral is "lncRNA (ENSSHAG00000026013.1)". The record is from RNAcentral. Lineage: Eukaryota; Metazoa; Chordata; Mammalia; Dasyuromorphia; Dasyuridae.